RNAcentral lists this ribosomal RNA (220 nucleotides) under uncultured Victivallaceae bacterium. RNAcentral's name for it is "partial 16S ribosomal RNA". It matches the Rfam family "Bacterial small subunit ribosomal RNA", at positions 1164 to 1382 of the family's 1533-position model. Lineage: Bacteria; Pseudomonadati; Lentisphaerota; Lentisphaeria; Victivallales; Victivallaceae. The record is from RNAcentral.
GGGAGGAAGGCGCGGAUGACGUCAAGUCCGUAUGGCCCUUACAUCCAGGGCUGCACACGUGCUACAAUGGCCGGUAUAAUGGGCUGCGACCUUGCGAGAGGAAGCCAAUCCCCAAAAACCGGCCCCAGUUCGGAUUGGAGUCUGCAACUCGACUCCAUGAAGUUGGAAUCGCUAGUAAAGGCGUAUCAGCAACGACGCCUUGAAUACGUUCCCGGGCCUU